RNAcentral lists this ribosomal RNA (392 nucleotides) under uncultured bacterium. Its description in RNAcentral is "SSU rRNA". It matches the Rfam family "Bacterial small subunit ribosomal RNA", at positions 65 to 462 of the family's 1533-position model. The record is from RNAcentral.
AACGGUUUUUGGAGCUUGCUCCAAGAUAGUGGCGGNCGGGUGAGUANCGCGUAGGAAUCUGCCUGUAGAGGGGGACAACCCGGGGAAACUCGGGCUAAUACCGCAUAAUAAUCGAAAGAUGAAAGGGUGGGACCUUAGGGCCACUCGCUAUAAGAUGAGCCUGCGUUGGAUUAGCUAGUUGGUGGGGUAAAGGCCUACCAAGGCGACGAUCCAUAACUGGUCUGAGAGGAUGACCAGUCACACUGGGACUGAGACACGGCCCAGACUCCUACGGGAGGCAGCAGUGGGGAAUAUUGGACAAUGGGGGCAACCCUGAUCCAGCAAUGCCGCGUGUGUGAAGAAGGCCUGCGGGUUGUAAAGCACUUUUAGCGAUGAGGAAGGGUGUUUGUCGA